RNAcentral lists this transfer RNA (69 nucleotides) under Ctenosaura bakeri. RNAcentral's name for it is "tRNA-Ser". Lineage: Eukaryota; Metazoa; Chordata; Lepidosauria; Squamata; Iguanidae. The record is from RNAcentral.
AGAACUGCUAAUUCUUACCCCUGAAGUUAAAUUCCUCAGACCCCUCACUUUUAAAGGAUAAAAGACAAU